GACGAACGCUGGCGGCGUGCCUAAUACAUGCAAGUUGAGCGCUUAAGGUUGGUACUUGUACCGACUGGCUGAGCAGCGAACGUGUGAGUAACGCGUGGGGAAUCUGCCUUUGAGCGUGGGACAACAUUUGGAAACGAAUGCUAAUACCGCAUAACAACUUUAAACACAAGUUUUAAGUUUGAAAGAUGCAAUUGCAUCACUCAAAGAUGAUCCCGCGUUUUAUUAGCUAGUUUGUGAGGUAAAGGCUCACAAAGGCGAUGAUACAUAGCCGACCUGAGAGGGUGGAGGGCCAAAAUGGGACUGAGAAAAGGACCAAAAAACUAAGGGAGGCAGCAGGAGGGAAGAUUAGGAAAUGGACGAAAGGCUGACCGAGCAAAGCAGCGUGAGUGAAGAAGGGUAUCGGAUCGUAAAAAUCAGUUGGUAGAGAAGAAAGUUGGUGAGAGUGGAAAGCACAUAAAGUGACGGUAACUAACAAGAAAGGGACGGCUAACUACGUG
Molecule: ribosomal RNA, 497 nt
Filed under: uncultured bacterium
Lineage: Bacteria
Description: partial 16S ribosomal RNA
Rfam family: Bacterial small subunit ribosomal RNA
Source: RNAcentral